ACGAUGAUGUUUGUGAUCAGGCUGUGACCUGCCAGGGAGUUCAAGAUCGCUGUCUUAACGGCACAGUGACAGCUAGUAAUGGUCGGUCUGUGACUCUUCGAGGCUGUGUCUCCAGGAGUCUGUGUGGUUCCGGUUCUGACUCCGGUUCUGACUCCGGUUCUGACUCUGGGUCUGACUCCGGUUCUGACUCCGGUUCUGACUCUGGUUCUGACUCCGGUUCUGUGUCCUGCUGUGAGGGGAGUCUCUGUAACAGAAACAGGGCUAUGAAUGACGCCCAGCCUGUAGCACUUACGCUCCUCACUCUGCUAGUUGGGCUAACAACCACCACACUUCUACAAUCAGUUAAUCAAUGAAUAUCUUGAUUGGGGUUUCUUGUAGAUUUGCAUAUUUUCCAAUGAGGAUUGGCUCUGUGGGGAUCUGCUUCUGGGGAUUUCACUCCCUGACCUACUAGAGUACUGUGGGAUCUGUUGCUUGUUGCUCAUCAGAAGGCGGCUGAAUUGAUCAAUUCUGUAAAAAAAAAAAAAAAAAGACUACUUGGUAGUGUUGG
Long non-coding RNA from Coregonus clupeaformis (lake whitefish), 547 nucleotides. RefSeq lists it as uncharacterized. Lineage: Eukaryota; Metazoa; Chordata; Actinopteri; Salmoniformes; Salmonidae. The record is from RefSeq and is a predicted model, not a curated record. The transcript has 2 exons.